This 1012-nucleotide ribosomal RNA is filed under the name Escherichia coli. RNAcentral describes it as "partial 23S ribosomal RNA". It matches the Rfam family "Bacterial large subunit ribosomal RNA", at positions 419 to 1430 of the family's 2925-position model. The record is from RNAcentral. Lineage: Bacteria; Pseudomonadati; Pseudomonadota; Gammaproteobacteria; Enterobacterales; Enterobacteriaceae.
GGGACACGUGGUAUCCUGUCUGAAUAUGGGGGGACCAUCCUCCAAGGCUAAAUACUCCUGACUGACCGAUAGUGAACCAGUACCGUGAGGGAAAGGCGAAAAGAACCCCGGCGAGGGGAGUGAAAAAGAACCUGAAACCGUGUACGUACAAGCAGUGGGAGCACGCUUAGGCGUGUGACUGCGUACCUUUUGUAUAAUGGGUCAGCGACUUAUAUUCUGUAGCAAGGUUAACCGAAUAGGGGAGCCGAAGGGAAACCGAGUCUUAACUGGGCGUUAAGUUGCAGGGUAUAGACCCGAAACCCGGUGAUCUAGCCAUGGGCAGGUUGAAGGUUGGGUAACACUAACUGGAGGACCGAACCGACUAAUGUUGAAAAAUUAGCGGAUGACUUGUGGCUGGGGGUGAAAGGCCAAUCAAACCGGGAGAUAGCUGGUUCUCCCCGAAAGCUAUUUAGGUAGCGCCUCGUGAAUUCAUCUCCGGGGGUAGAGCACUGUUUCGGCAAGGGGGUCAUCCCGACUUACCAACCCGAUGCAAACUGCGAAUACCGGAGAAUGUUAUCACGGGAGACACACGGCGGGUGCUAACGUCCGUCGUGAAGAGGGAAACAACCCAGACCGCCAGCUAAGGUCCCAAAGUCAUGGUUAAGUGGGAAACGAUGUGGGAAGGCCCAGACAGCCAGGAUGUUGGCUUAGAAGCAGCCAUCAUUUAAAGAAAGCGUAAUAGCUCACUGGUCGAGUCGGCCUGCGCGGAAGAUGUAACGGGGCUAAACCAUGCACCGAAGCUGCGGCAGCGACGCUUAUGCGUUGUUGGGUAGGGGAGCGUUCUGUAAGCCUGUGAAGGUGUGCUGUGAGGCAUGCUGGAGGUAUCAGAAGUGCGAAUGCUGACAUAAGUAACGAUAAAGCGGGUGAAAAGCCCGCUCGCCGGAAGACCAAGGGUUCCUGUCCAACGUUAAUCGGGGCAGGGUGAGUCGACCCCUAAGGCGAGGCCGAAAGGCGUAGUCGAUGGGAAACAGGU